CUUUCAAAUCUAUAUUUAGAAGUUUUGUAUAAGUUGGACUUGGAGUAAGUAGUCUAAAAAAAAAAAAACAGAUGCGUGUAUUCAAAUUUAUGGCUAUAGGAAGUAAGCUUGAGAUUCAUAAACAUUUCUGAUAUCAAGUGGGAUUCCUGGAGGUAGACUGUAUUAAUUUACAGAAUCUAUAAGGAACCCUGGAGGCAGAGUAUUAGUUUACAGAAGUUAUGGUUAUCAUUAAUAUGUAUUCACAUUUUCUACUUCUGCAACUUUCUUGCAUCCUUCCAACCAAAUUUUUUUUCUUGCAUCCUUAAUAACUACAUGAAUUUGCAUUUUUGAUGGUAGGGAAGCCUUCUUUUAGAAAGAAACAAGCAGAUCUUUUGUUCCCCCAGAUUUUGCCAAAGACUUUCCAGUUGCAAUGCAGAUAUCCCACAAAUACAGUUUGAUCUACGUGAUCACCAACCUUCGGCUAUUAUUUGUUUAUGACUUGGAGACCGCUACUGCAAUUUAUAGAAAUAGAAUCUGUCCAGACCCAAUAUUUUUUACAGCAGCUUCACCAGUGGGAGGUUUUUUAUGCAAUCAAUAGGCAUGGACAGUUGAACAAUUUGGAGCCUGCUGUCAAUCUUGCCAAAAGAGGGAAUCUUCCUGGAGCCGAGCA
Molecule: long non-coding RNA, 649 nt
Organism: Juglans microcarpa x Juglans regia
Lineage: Eukaryota; Viridiplantae; Streptophyta; Magnoliopsida; Fagales; Juglandaceae
Exons: 3
Source: RefSeq, a predicted model, not a curated record